GAUGAACGCUGGCGGCGUGCUUAACACAUGCAAGUCGAACGGAAAGGCUCCUGCUUGCAGGGGUACUCGAGUGGCGAACGGGUGAGUAACACGUGGGUGAUCUGCCCCGCACUUCGGGAUAAGCCUGGGAAACUGGGUCUAAUACCGGAUAGGACCACUUCUUGGAGGUUGUGGUGGAAAGUUUUUUCGGUGUGGGAUGAGCUCGCGGCCUAUCAGCUUGUUGGUGGGGUAAUGGCCUACCAAGGCGUCGACGGGUAGCCGGCCUGAGAGGGUGUACGGCCACAUUGGGACUGAGAUACGGCCCACACUCCUACGGGAGGCAGCAGUGGGGAAUAUUGCACAAUGGGCGCAAGCCUGAUGCAGCGACGCCGCGUGGGGGAUGACGGCCUUCGGGUUGUAAACUCCUUUCGCUAGGGACGAAGCGCAAGUGACGGUACCUAGAGAAGAAGCUCCGGCUAACUACGUGCCAUCAGCCGCGGUAAUACGUAUGGUGCGAGCGUUGUCCGGAAUUACUGGGUCUAAAAAACUCGUACGUGCUUUGUCGCCUCACUCGUGUAAGCCCCGCCCUUAACUGCAGGAUUGCAGGCCUAUACUGGCAUAACUUGAGUGUUUUAGGGGAGACUGGAAUUCCUGGUGUAGCGGUGGAAUGCGCAGAUAUCAGGAGGAACACCGAUGGCGAAGGCAGGUCUCUGGGCAGUAACUGACGCUGAGGAGCGAAAGCAUGGGGAGCGAACAGGAUUAGAUACCCUGGUAGUCCAUGCCGUAAACGGUGGGCGCUAGGUGUGAGUCCCUUCCACGGGGUUCGUGCCGUAGCUAACGCAUUAAGCGCCCCGCCUGGGGAGUACGGCCGCAAGGCUAAAACUCAAAGGAAUUGACGGGGGCCCGCACAAGCGGCGGAGCAUGUGGAUUAAUUCGAUGCAACGCGAAGAACCUUACCUGGGCUUGACAUACACCAGACCGGGCCAGAGAUGGUCUUUCCCUUUGUGGUUGGUGUACAGGUGGCGCAUGGUUGUCGUCACCUCGUGUCGUGAGAUGUUGGGUUAAGUCCCGCAACGAGCGCAACCCUUGUUUUAUGUUGCCCGCACGUGAUGGUGGGGACUCAUGAGAGACUGCCGGGGUUAACUCCGAAGAAUGUGGGGAUGACGUCCAAUCAUCAUGCUCCUUAUGUUCCGGGGCUUCCCCCUGUCUACAAUGGUUGGUACCACGCGUUUUCCAACCCUGUGAUGGUGUGCUAAUCCCUUAAAUCCCGUCCUUAGUUUUGACUGGGGGUCUGCCACUUCUACCCCUUGUAAGUCGGGAGUCGCUAGUAAUUCCCACAUCACCCACACCCUGCGGUGAAUAAAUUCCCUGGGC
RNAcentral lists this ribosomal RNA (1353 nucleotides) under uncultured bacterium. RNAcentral describes it as "bacterial SSU rRNA". It matches the Rfam family "Bacterial small subunit ribosomal RNA", at positions 28 to 1379 of the family's 1533-position model. The record is from RNAcentral.